UACGAAGGGGGCUAGCGUUGCUCGGAAUUACUGGGCGUAAAGGGCGCGUAGGCGGCUCUAUCAGUCAGGCGUGAAAUUCCUGGGCUUAACCUGGGGGCUGCGCUUGAUACAGUGGGGCUUGAGGGUGGAAGAGGGUCGCGGAAUUCCCAGUGUAGAGGUGAAAUUCGUAGAUAUUGGGAAGAACACCGGUGGCGAAGGCGGCGACCUGGUCCAUUACUGACGCUGAGGCGCGACAGCGUGGGGAGCAAACAGG
Molecule: ribosomal RNA, 253 nt
Filed under: uncultured bacterium
Lineage: Bacteria
Description: partial 16S ribosomal RNA
Rfam family: Bacterial small subunit ribosomal RNA
Source: RNAcentral